RNAcentral lists this unclassified non-coding RNA (2944 nucleotides) under Copidosoma floridanum. RNAcentral's name for it is "paramyosin, short form-like, transcript variant X1". The record is from RNAcentral. Lineage: Eukaryota; Metazoa; Arthropoda; Insecta; Hymenoptera; Encyrtidae.
UUCCAAGGGGAAAAAAUGUCCGACGUGCCUUUGGCGCAGAUGCCGGUGGCGCCGACCAAAUGGCGUCACCUGCCAACGACGAUUUACGAAAAAAACUACGGCUUCGGGAUAAACUAUUACCAGCCGAUGAUCGACUACCUCGACAGAAAGGAGAGCGCCGAGGCCUCCAAGAGCACGGCCCUCAAGGCCCCGCUACCCUUCACGGAGUCACGCGCCUCUUGGGAGCACAACUACAUCGUGCCCUACAGCAGAGACGAGCUCGCACGGCACACUAUAGCCACCGAAAUGAAGGCCAAGGAGCACUUGGAGAACUUUAAGGCAGCCCAGCGCUCGGACUUCAGUCGGCAAAAGUGCGUACAAGCGGCCCGAGUCUCGAAGGAGGUGUACUCGAGCAAGUUCGAGGCGGAGGCGACGAGGUUGCUGUACAGGCGAGCCGCGAGCGAGCCCGACUCCGAGUUCGCGGCGGAGGAGAUGGCAGGGUUGCGCAGCCAAGCCCUCCGGGAGCUCCAGUCGUGCAGCGACGAGGUGGCCAGCGGCACCACCACCACCGAGUCGUACCACCAGCACGGCCGGCAACUGCGGGGCAAGUCGGCCAAAGCCAUCGAGUUCCAGCUCAAGGCCAACGCGCUGAUGAACUUGUCGAGGAGCGAGGAGCUUGCCGACAUAAGGAAGUACCAGCGCGAGGUCGUCCACGUGCACCACGACGAGGCCGAGCACCAGAGGCUCAUGGAGGAGCGCUUCAGGAAUCUCACCGACCUCGAGAAGCUCACCACGCCCCUGGCCAGCCUCAGCAAGGAGAUGAAGAGCUUCGAGCAGAGGAACAGUAGCUAUUUACUCGACAAGAGCAAGCAGACCAGCAUCGAAAUCGAGCAGCUGAACGCCCGCGUCGUCGAGGCCGAGAUCAAGCUCAAGACGGAAGUGCAGCGCGUCAAGAAGAAGCUGCAGAUCCAGAUCACGGAGCUCGAGCUGUCGCUCGACGUCGCCAACAAGACCAACAUCGACCUCCAGAAGACCAUCAAGAAGCAAUCGCUCACCUUGACCGAGUUGCAAGCCCACUACGAUGAGGUUCAGCGCCAGCUGCAGGUGACGCUCGAUCAGUUGGGCAUCAGCCAGCGCCGCCUGCAAUCCUUGACUUCCGAGCUCGAGGAGGUCCGCGGCAACUACGAAUCCGCCCUUCGUGCCAAGAGGACGGUCGAGCAGGCGUACGAGGAGGCGACGAGCCGCAUAAACGAGCUGACGACCAUAAACGUGAACAUCGCGUCCUCGAAGGCGAAGCUCGAGCAGGAGCUGUCGACCCUCGCCGGUGACUACGAGGAGGUGACGAAGGAGCUGCGCGUGAGCGACGAGCGCUACCAACGCGUCCAGAACGAGCUCAAGCACACCGUCGAGAUUCUGCACGAGGAGCAGGAGCGCAUCGUUAAAAUCGAGGCGAUCAAGAAGAGCCUCGAGAUCGAAGUCAAGAACAUCUCGGUGCGCCUCGAGGAGGUCGAGGCCAACGCGAUCGUCGGUGGAAAGCGCAUCAUCAGCAAACUCGAGGCCAGGAUCCGUGAUCUCGAGUUGGAGCUGGACGAGGAGAAGCGCCGACACGCCGAGACGGUGAAGAUCCUGCGCAAGAAGGAGCGCAACAUCAAGGAGGUGAUGAUCCAGGUCGAGGAGGACUCGAAGAACAUAGCCCUGCUGCAGGAGUCGCUCGACAAGGCCAGCCAAAAGGUCAACAUUUACAAGCGCCAGCUGACGGAGCAGGAGGGCAUGUCCCAGCAGAGCGUGACGAGGGUGCGCCGCUUCCAGCGCGAGCUCGAGGCGGCCGAGGAUCGGGCCGACACCGCCGAGUCCAACCUCACCCUCAUACGCGCCAAGCACCGCAGCUUCGUCACCACGUCGUCCGUCCCCGGCUCCCAGGUCUACCUCGUCCAGGAGUCGAGGCAGGAGCUGUAGGGCUCCCCCGACCCCGAGCCAUCCCCCUCUCCCAAAAAAAAAAAAAUCCCUCAGCGCAUCUCGCCCGUACCGCAGCAUUACAAACGACAAGAGCAACACUUUUUUCGGGCGAGGAAGAGUGAGCAGAAACGACGGCGGAGCAAGCGAGAAGUACCACAUUGCCUCGAGCAGCCCUUGUGUAAGGACGCAUCUAUCGAGCGCCUAAAAACACGGACGAGCUCAUCUGUAUUUUUGAUUGAUUAUGUUAUUACGAUGAUGAUGAUGAUGAUGAUGAUUUUUAAAAGCCGGACAUUUUAUGAAUAAAAUUUUCGAUGAAAAAUGAUGAAACUAGAAAACCAAAAACCGAGUCUACACCACACCGCAACAGGUUGCACCGAGGCCAUUUCACAAUGACGAUCGAUAUUAACGAGUCCAAAGUACACACAUAUUUAUAAAAUAACCAUGCCAUAACGUCAAGUUUCUCUCAUCUCGGCUUUUUUCCUCUCUCUCGCUCGCACACAUCUCAACACCAUUAUUUGUUAUCACGUGUACGCACAUACAUAUUUAUAUACAUACAUGCAAAUCAACAUGUAUAUGUUAUUUAUAUCGAAACAUUAUUUCACACCCCACGAAAUUUUCGUGCCUUCAUCCAUCGCUCACUUUCGGAUCCCGAAAAAAAAAAAAAAAAAAUAUUGCAUCCUCGCCUUGUUUCUUCCUCUUUCGGGAUGGCUCGUGAUGCAAAGUUCAUCGUUAAUAAUAAUGUGCAUUUUUGCAUGCACACACAUCUCCACGUGUCUCUCACGCUCUUUCUAUUUUUCUAUCUCUCCGUCUCUGUCUUUCUCUGUACUCUUUCGUUUUUAUUUUCUAUGGUUCGUACUAAAGUGUAUACGCGUUUCCAUGAGCCCGAAGCAAAGGAGUAAGAAACAAAGGCAACCUGAGAAGAGAGCGAAUUUGAAACGAGACGCGCUUUUCGACGGAAUAAAUGAUACUUGUAUCGAUUAAUAAUAAAAAAUAAAUAAAUAAAUAAAAA